Molecule: non-coding RNA, 84 nt
Filed under: Xenorhabdus nematophila
Lineage: Bacteria; Pseudomonadati; Pseudomonadota; Gammaproteobacteria; Enterobacterales; Morganellaceae
Also listed under: 1 other name
Source: RNAcentral
UUCAAUGGUGAUUCAGGUGGGGGAGACGUAAGUCUCGCUGGUUAUGAGUGCCAGUCCGCGAACCCUGUCUGAAUCGCCACCAUC